Molecule: long non-coding RNA, 7599 nt
Filed under: Gossypium barbadense (sea-island cotton)
Lineage: Eukaryota; Viridiplantae; Streptophyta; Magnoliopsida; Malvales; Malvaceae
Description: long non-coding RNA (GBAR_LNC013871)
Source: RNAcentral
GAUAAUAAGGUUGUCGCUUGAUGCUUAAUAGCUCUUUGUUUCUUUAUACAAGUUUAUUUGAAAACUCAACUUUUUCUGAGAUUAUUUUUCUCUCAUUCUUAGAUCCACAUUUAAAUUACAUUUAGCAUUUGAUUAUGUAUUUGUUGUGGAUGGUUUAGCUCUAAAUAUCAAUUAUAUGGAUAUGGCAUCAAUAUCCUAACCUACUCUUUUAUGACAGCAUGAGUGAAGCAGGCAGAGCUUUACGAAAAAGAUAAGAAAAAGCGUUGACUAGCUAACUGAGUUGACCUCUGUUUACUAUAAGUGAGCCUCUGCCUCUCCCAGUUCUUGAAUCAUUAUCUUUCUGCACUUGUAAUCUUACUUUUCAUUGAAACUUUCCUCCCAAAAUCAACUUUUCCUUCAUUUAUAUUGGGUCUUUUAAGGUUCUAUUGUCUGGGGGAAGUAACAGUGAGGAAGGAGAAAUGGUGGAGCCAGAGAAUUAUGGGCAUCAACAUCCACUGCUACUUCUGUUGAAUGAAGAGCAGCUGAUCGACAAUCAAAGUGGAGUAGCUGACUGCUCCAAGUGUGGGGAGAAGGUGUCUGCUCUAUGUUUUAGCUGUACGGAAAACUGUGGAUUUUACCUUCACAAGAUAUGUGCUGAUGCACCUUUGAAGCUUAAUCACCCUUUUCAUCGCGACCAUCCACUUGAUCUUAUGCAUCAUAGUCUUCUUAUUAAGAAUCUAGCUUAUUGAUCGAGGUACAUUUGUGAUUUUUGCGAUAAAGGCGGUAAUGAAUUUGUUUAUCAGUGCUCUUGCAAUUUGGACUUGAAUAUUAAAUGCGGUUUAUUUAUACUUGAUAUUUCCGAAAAUAAUUUGAAAGAGAUUGAGCAUGUUGCCCUUCGAGAUCCAUUAAUUUCCACUAAAAAUGAUGAUGAAGAACUUAAACAUGUUGUUAACUGCUUUGGGUGCUGGCAACCAUUAACAAAAUAUACAUAAUUUUAUCUUGAUCGUAAAUUUAAUUUACAUAAAAAAUGUGCUGAACCGCCUCUCGAGAUGAGUCAUAUGUGCCAUAUUUUGCAAUUCAGUAGCGAUCGACUCCCUUACAAGAUAUGCCAAGUAAUAAGGCAAUACCAAUCUAACCACAAGGUUAGCAACUCUAAUGGUGAUACCAUUCAACAAAUAAUCAAUCAAAACAAUUAAAGAUCUCUAAAAACCAAUGGAGAAACAAUUCAAAACAACCAAACCUAGAAAUUGUUGGUGCUUGGGAAACAUAAACCAAUGAGAAUUAACCAAAAAGUUUUGAGUUGUAUAACCGUUUCAUUUUUUUUAAGGUUUUACUCGCUCCAACUUAUAAUUUAGCAUGCAAAAAAAUUACAUGAAAAUAAACCUCAACAAUAUAAUAUAACCCACCAACUAAAACAAUGCACUAAAUACUAAUCAAUGUAUAACCAAAUUAACAACUUCUUUAAAGAAUAAUAGAUGAUGGACCAAGAAUAUAAACAACUUUUGUUUCUCAAUUUCGAAGUGUAAUGCAAAUUAAAUUUCACUACUAUUUAUAGAGUUAUCAUGCUUUUUUUAUAGAUAAAGAAUUAUACUAUAGGUAUCUUUUUAGAUAGAAAUCUCAUAGAUAUAACUAAUUAAUUGGUUAACUUUUAUGAUUUAAGAGAUAUAAUUUAUCAAUAUGAAAAGUGAUAAAUCUUAAUUAAUAAUCAAGUGAUAUAACUAUCGAUUAAUGAUAAUUUUUCAUUUGCAACUAUUGAAACAUAUAUAUUUUGCAAAGUUCCAACACUUUCAUUUUCAAAAUAUUCUAAAUUUUAAUAAUAUUGAGAAUCAAUUAUAUUAAUGAAUGUGUCUUACGAUUGAAUCAUCAUUUAGUGAAAACAUGUUAAAGUUAAUCGAGAUUGCAUGAUAAAUCCUACUUUAAAUCAACUAUUGUAUUUAAUUAACCGAACAAAUCCCACAUAAUGGUUCAACAUUAGUCAAUUCAUAAUAUCUAAGGAUACUAUUAUGACCACGUGUCUAUAAUCUCUUUUCAUGAGUUUUAUUAAAGUCAAGCUCCUAAGUUCUUAAAAGGUCAAAUUUAAUUGCCAUAUCAUAUUGACCAUUAAAAAUUAAUAGUAAAUGUCAAUCAAUGGAUUCUUUUACUAAAUUUUUACAGUUCAAAUAUUAAACUUAAUUGUUUUUUUUAAAAUUGAACACUUUUUACAUUUGCACCCUUAAACCAUUAUUCUAUAAUACAUCGUUAUACAUAAAUUCAAAAUAUAUUAUAUUAUUAACAUUAAAAUUUUAAUAUUAUUAAUAAUUAACCCCUAAUUAAUAUAUAAUUCUAGAUUUUUUUUAUAAAAUAAACCAUUAGCUACUUUUAUUUAUUUUUAUUACCAUUCACAUUGAAUAAAGUAAAAUUUUGAUCCUAUUUUUAUAUUUUAGUACUCACUAAUAUUUAAUAGUUUUUAUGGAGACUAAAAAUGGGGCCGACUCAUUGGAACACUGGCUCUGCGUGAAGCGAUUCCCAUUAACGACAACCCACAGUGAUAGGACUCAACAGGCUAGUGUUAAGAAAAAUUGCUGAAGAUAAUAAUAAGUUUUAAAAAUUAUUAAUGGCAUACUUGUCGUUUAGUGUAUACAAUUUUGAAGUUCAUCCUUUUAUAUAUUAAAUAAAUAGACAAUUGUUUUUUUUCCUUGGAUUUAUAAAAAACCAUAAAUAUAAUAUCAAUCAAUCUCGCAAAAAGAGGUUUUUGAAUCACUCUAUUUUAUAUCAAAUACUUUAUUGGUUCUUGAAUCAUUCCAUUGAAACUUUGCUCUCAAAAUCAAGUUUUUCCUUCAUUUAUAUUCCAUCUUAAGAGAUAAGAGAGGAAGGAGGUAUGGAGGAGUCAAACAAUUAUGGGCACCAACAUCCCCUGCUUCUUAUGUUGAAUCAAGAGCAGCUGAUCAACUAUGGCAGUGGGGUAGCUGACUGCUCGAGGUGCGGGGAGGAGGUGUCUGCUCCAUGUUUUUGCUGUGCUGAGCACUGCGGGUUUUACCUUCACAAGGUAUGUGCCGAGGCACCUUUGGAGCUUAAUCAUCCUUUUCAUCACGAUCAUCCUCUUCGUCUUAUGCAAAAUGCACCUUAUUCAUCUGCUGGAGACUACAUUUGUGAUUUUUGUGAUAAAGGGGAUAAUAAGUUUGUUUAUCACUGCUCUUGCGGAUUGGACUUUCAUAUUAAAUGUGCUUUGUUUACAUUUAAUAUUGCUGAAAAUAAUUUGAAAGAGCUUGAGCAUGUUCCCCUUCAAGAUCCAUUGAUUUCCACUGAAAAUGGUGAUGAAGAACUUGAAGGUGUUAGCAAGUGCUUUGGAUGUAGGGAACCAUUAACAAAGUAUACACACUUUUCUCCUGACUGUGGAUUUAAUUUACAUGAGAAAUGCGCUAAGCUUCCUUUCAAAUUGAAUCAUAUGUUGCAUCGCGAGCAUCCUCUUGUUCUACAAUUUAAUAGCGAACGGCUCUCCUGCAAGAUAUGCCUAGUAACAAGGCGAAGAGAAUUUGUUUAUGGUUGUUCUCCUUGUAAGAUUGCUAUCCCCAUUGAAUGUGCAUUACCAUCACCCAUUAUUGAAGAUAAAAGCCAUCCGCAUCCAUUCACUCUGUUUCCAAGACGACUACCCUUCAUUUGUGAUGCAUGCGGUGUCGAAGGAAAUUACGCUUCCUACAUUUGUUGUACAUGCAACAUAAUAGUCCAUAAAGAGUGCAUUUCAUUGCCAUGUAUCAUCAUUAGCAAGUGGCAUGAUCAUCGCAUUUAUCACAAAUACUUUCUUCCACGAGAUUUUAGAAAUUCAGACUGCGAUAUUUGUCAUGGUGAGGUCAAUAUUGUAAUAUUACAUUUCAUGCCCGUUGUGUGACAGAGGAUAAAUAUUCAUAUUCUAUACCUUCACGCGAAGAUGAAGAUGAGAUAUCCAAUGAAAGUUCCAUCACCGUUUUGGAGUGGAAUGAUGCCAAAGAAGCUACAAAAAUAAAACACUUAAAGCAUAUGCACAAUCUAAUGCUAAGUGCUUCCGUUGGAGGGUAUGAAAACAGUUGUGAUGGGUGUAUGUUACCAAUCUCAGAUCCAUUUUACUAUUGUUCGGAAUGUGAUUUUUUUCUUCAUAAAGCUUGUGCUGAGUUACUCAGGAUGAAGCGUGUUUGGCAUCAUACAUAUUGCAAACAACCACACAUCCUCAUUUCAGAUAAAGUUUUUCAUUGUGAAAUGUGUUUUCACAAAUCUAAUGCCUUUGCUUAUGAAUGUAGUGAAUGUGAGAGUAGGACAUGUCUCAGAUGUGUGAUUGCUCUUACUCCUGGUGCGCGAACAUGUUUGAAACAUGAACACCCCCUCCGUUUCUACAGAGAGUACAAAGGGAAGUGCAAUGCUUGUAGUUGUUUUUCAUGGCGGGCAUUUUGUUGUAAGGAUUGCAAUUUUGUGCUACAUCUUGGAUGUUUUUCACUUCCCAUUACGACUCAACACAAAUGUGAUGAGCAUCUUCUGUCACUCACUGAUCAUGAUGAUAACAAUUAUUCAGAAAGUCAUUAUUGCGAUAUCUGUGAAGAAAGUCGAGAUCCAAAUCGUUGGUUUUAUCAUUGUGCAAUAUGCAAUACUUCUGCUCAUGUUAAUUGUGUUCUUGGAAAAUAUACAUUCCUUAAACUCGGGAGCAUCUUUGAAGAAACAGAUCAUCCACACCCACUCACCAUUGUGAAGAAGAAAUAUUACUAUCCUGAUUGUGAUAAAUGCGGUAAGCCUUGUGAAGAUUUGGCUCUUGAAUGCUCAAAGUCUGAGUGCAAAUAUAUUGUCCACUGGAAUUGUGCAGCACCUAGAAAACUACAGUGUCUGAUCGGUUGGCCCAUGUAGUAAUUUAGAUCUAAUUAUAUUUGAGACCUACCACUUCAUUUAUAGGAAAACUCAAGACUGAAGAAUAGAGUUUGAUCUUUGUCUUGUUACUUGUAAUGCUAGUUGUUGUUGUCAUAAUAAUUUGGUUUUUCUGACUUCGAAGUUUUAAUGUAAUAAUUUGAAGCCAAUACUGAUGAGAUUUUCAUUGGUGUUUGAUUGUUGAUUUUAAAAUUUCUUGUAAUUGGACAAUUUGAUUGUACUUAACAUCAAGACUAUGAUAAUAAGGUUGUCGCUUGAUUCUUAAUAGCUCUUUGUUUCUUUAUACAAGUUUAUUUGAAAACUCCAACUUUUUUUUAGAUUAUUUUUCUCUCAUUAUUAGAUUCACGUUUAAAUUACAUUUAGCAUUUGAUUAUGUAUUUGUUGUGGAUGAUUUAGCUCUGAAUAUCAAUUAUAUGGAUAUGGCAUCAAUAUCCUAACCUACUCUUUUAUGACAGCUUGAGUGAAGCAGGCAGAGCUUUACGAAAAAGAUAAGAAAAAGCGUUGACUAGUUAACGGAGGUGACCUCUGUUUACUAUAAGUGAGCCUCUGCCUCUACCAGUUCUUGAAUCAUUAUCUUUCUGCACUUGAAAUCUUACUUUUUCAUUGAAACUUUCCUCCCAAAAUCAACUUUUCCUUUAUUUAUAUUGGGUCUUUUAAGGUUCUAUUGUUUGGGGGAAGUGACAGUGAGGAAGGAGAAAUGGUGGAGCCAGAGAAUUAUGGGCAUCAACAUCCACUGCUACUUCUGUUGAACGAAGAGCAGCUGAUCGACAAUCAAAGUGGAGUUGCUGACUGCUCCAAGUGUGGGGCGAAGGUGUCUGCUUCAUGUUUUAGCUGUGCGGAAAACUGUGGAUUUUACCUUCACAAGAUAUGUGCUGCUGCACCUUUGAAGCUUAAUCACCCUUUUCAUCGCGACCAUCCACUUGAUCUUAUGCAUCAUAGUCUUCUUAUUAAGAAUCCAGCUUAUUGAUCGAGGUACAUUUGUGAUUUUUGCGAUAAAGGCGGUAAUGAAUUUGUCUAUCAGUGCUCUUGCAAUUUGGACUUGAAUAUUAAAUGUGGUUUAUUUAUACUUGAUAUUUCCGAAAAUAAUUUGAAAAAGAUUGAGCAUGUUGCCCUUCAAGAUCCAUUAAUUUGCACUAAAAAUGAUGAUGAAGAACUUAAACAUGUUGUUAACUGCUUUGGGUAUUGGCAACCAUUAACAAAAUAUACAUAAUUUAAUUUGUCAUGAUGAGGUCAAUCCAGAGCUCGGAAGUUAUCGUUGUUUACAUUGCAAUAUUACAUUCCAUGUGCAUUGUGUGACAAAGGAUACAAGCUCAUAUUCAAUAGUUUCACUUGAAGAUGAAGAUGAGAUAUUCAAUGAAAGUUCCAUCACCGUUUUGGAGUGGAAUGAUGCCAAAGAAGCUACAAAAGUAAAACACUUCAAGCAUAUGCACAAUCUAAUGCUAAGUGCUUCCGUUGGAGGGUAUGAAAACAGUUGUGAUGGGUGUAUGUUACAAUUUUGGAUCCAUUUUACUAUUGUUCGCAAUGUGAUUUUUUUCUUCAUAGAGCUUGUGCUGAGUUACUUCGGAGGAAGCGUGUUUGGCAUCAUACAUCUUGCAAACAACCUCUCAUCCUCAUUUCAGAUAAAGUUUUUUUGUGUAAAAGAUGUUGUCAUAUAUCUAAUGGCUUUGCUUAUGAAUGUAGUGAAUGUGAGAGUUGGACAUGUCUUAGAUGUGUGAUUGCUCUUACUCCUGGUGCUCGAACAUGUUUGAAACAUGAACACCCGCUCCGUUUCUACAGACAGUACGAAGGGAAGUGCAAUGCUUGUAGUCUUUUUUCAUGGGGGCACUUUGUUGUAAGGAUUGCAAUUUUGUGCUAGAUCUUGGAUGUUUUUCACUUUCAAUUACAGCUCAUCACAAAUGUGAUGAGCAUUUUCUUUCACUAACUGAUCGUGAUGAAAACAGUUAUUCACAGUCAUUUUUGUGAUAUCUGUGAAGAAAGUCGUUAUCCAAAUAAUUGGUUUUAUCAUUGUGCAACAUGCGAUACUUCUGCUCAUGUUGGUUGUAUUCUUGGAGAAUAUCCAUUCCUCAAACUCAAGAGCAUCUAUGAAGAAAAAAAUCAUCCACACCCACUCUCCAUUGUGAAGAAGUAUUAUUAUCUUGAUUGUGAUAAAUGCGGUAAGCCUUGUGAAGAUUUGGCUCUUGAAUGCUUGAAGUCAGAGUGCAAAUAUAUUGUUCAUUGGAAUUGUGUAGCACCCAGUUCUCUACAAUGUUUCUGGGAUUGGUCCAUGUAGCAAUUUAGACCUAAUCAUAUUUGAAACCUACCAUUUGCAGGAAAACUCAAGACUGAAGAACAAAGUUUGAUCUUUGCCUUGUAAUGCUAGUUGUUGUUGUUGUCAUAGUAAUUGGUUUUUUCUACUUUUAAGUUUCAAUGCAAUAAUCUGAAGCCAAAACUUACGAGGUUUGCAUUGGUGUUUGAUUGUUGAAUUUAGAAUUUCUUGUAAUUAGACGAUGUGAUUUUACUUAGAUGAGGACUACGAUAAUAAGGUAGUUGCUUGAUGCUUAAUAGCUCUUUGUUUCUUUAUAUAAGUUCAUUUGAAAACUCAACUCUUUCUGAGAUUAUUUUUCUCUCAUUCUUAGAUUCACAUUUAAAUUAAAUUUAGCAUUUGAUUAUGUAUUUGUUGUGGAUGGUUUAGCUCUAAAUAUCAAUUAUAUGGAUAUGGCAUCAAUAUCCUAACCUACUCUUUUAUGACAGCAUGAGUGAAGCAGGCAGAGCUUUACG